AGGAGGAACAGCCCCAGUGGCGGGGCCAGCUCUGCAGCCCUGGAGUCAGCUCCCGCAGGAACUCCGGAGCUCUCCGUCUGCAGGGCCUGGAGGCUCCGGGGCGGG
This 105-nucleotide microRNA precursor is filed under the name Canis lupus familiaris (dog). RNAcentral's name for it is "mir-8834 microRNA precursor family". It matches the Rfam family "mir-8834 microRNA precursor family". The record is from Rfam by way of RNAcentral. Lineage: Eukaryota; Metazoa; Chordata; Mammalia; Carnivora; Canidae.